RNAcentral lists this small nuclear RNA (107 nucleotides) under Jaculus jaculus (lesser Egyptian jerboa). Lineage: Eukaryota; Metazoa; Chordata; Mammalia; Rodentia; Dipodidae. The record is from RNAcentral.
GUGCUUGCUUCGGCAGCACAUAUACUAAAAUUGGAAUGAUACAGAGUAGAUUAGCAUGGCCCCUGUGCAAGGAUGACAUGCAAAUUCGUGAAGCGUUCCAUAUUUUU